UACGUAGGGUGCGAGCGUUGUCCGGAAUUAUUGGGCGUAAAGGGCUCGUAGGCGGUUUGUCGCGUCGGGAGUGAAAUCCACUGGCUUAACUGGUGGCUUGCUUUCGAUACGGGCAGACUGGAGGUAUGCAGGGGAGAACGGAAUUCCUGGUGUAGCGGUGAAAUGCGCAGAUAUCAGGAGGAACACCGGUGGCGAAGGCGGUUCUCUGGGCAUGUCCUGACGCUGAGGAGCGAAAGUGUGGGGGGCGAACAGG
RNAcentral lists this ribosomal RNA (253 nucleotides) under uncultured bacterium. RNAcentral describes it as "partial 16S ribosomal RNA". It matches the Rfam family "Bacterial small subunit ribosomal RNA", at positions 524 to 776 of the family's 1533-position model. The record is from RNAcentral.